Molecule: long non-coding RNA, 1790 nt
Filed under: Gallus gallus (chicken)
Lineage: Eukaryota; Metazoa; Chordata; Aves; Galliformes; Phasianidae
Source: RNAcentral
GAUUAUAAGAAAGCACAGGAAACAUGUUUCCAAAAUCCUUAUUUUUAUUGUUUGCUUUAACUGUAGCAUCAUGUACAGCCUUCAUCUCUAGCACAGCAAAGCAGCUCAGCACACACAAAGCCCUAUUCAAGACCAGCAGAAGUGGAACCUCAGUUACAUAAUGCAGUACAUGCAGGAGUCAGUUUAUCAUAAUAUCCAAGUACAGUUACUCUGAUUCUUGCUUCUUUCAGGGCUGUUGAAAAGUUUCGUUUUAGGAGUGCAAAGAGAAAAUAGCUGCAACUUUUAUAGACAUGACUCAUGUUUAAACCCAAAUUCUUAAGUCUGAGUUAUUGAACUACAGCAGGGACCCUUCUUCAGUUGUGAAAAAAGUUUGCUCUGAAGUAAAUCCUUAACCUCUAAAGAAGCCAAUGAUGUAGGAGCAGAACUCAUGCAGGGAUUCCCAGCAAUGUUCCCGUGCCAGUUUCAUUGCUUCGGUUUCAUUUUCAGAACCCUGACCAUGCUGGGUUGGUUUUAUACGAGGUAACACUGCAGGUUUCCCUGUUUUCUUAACAGAGCUCUUCCCAGCUCCUCGCACAGAAGCUGAAGUUUUCUGGGAUGAUUUGUCCCGAUUCGCUCCAUCUUCCGGCUCCACGCCAGCAGCUACUUGCUUCAUGAGGGCAUCCACAGGAGCCUUCUGGCACAUGCUGGCCUUCAACAUUUGUGUAGAUUCGCAGGCAUGAGGGAGCUUUCUAAGUUCCAUGGUGAUCUGAUUCCAGUACAUUUUUGGAUUGUUUUGGAAAGGAUGACAGAGCAAUGGCAUGCCAGUGUAUUCACACCAGUAGGACUUGCCUUGGCCUUUGCAUUCAAUUCUCGCUUUCAUCUCUUCAUCCCCACUUAUUCUCAUUGUGCAGACGUCUUUGGUUUUCGUCCGAAAAUUGAUUUCUUCACCGUUGCUCCUUUUCUUUGGUUUCAGCUUUUGUCCCAAUCCUCCCAUGCCACAGAUCACUACCAGGAAAAGAAGAGCAACUCUCUUCAUGGCGAGAGGAACUGACUGCGAUCCUUCAGCAAAAUGACCUGAAAAAGUGGAAGUAGUAAGCACCUGGCUGCUCUCAAUUUAAAGGCUUGGUGCACAAAGAAGCCUCUUUCCAGCUUCACGUGGGAUGGAUGUAAUUUUUUAAAAAUAUUUAUUUAAAUAAUAAAUCACCCUUCAGUAGGCAUGUACCCAUAAUUUAUAGCCUGAGGAAGUGCCGAAUAAGCUGUGAACUCCCAUGAAGGUAACAAGACAAAUCUUGUAAAUGCAGUUAAAUACAGAACGAUAGUUGUAUAACUGAGAAGCACAUUCCUAUCCAGAAUGAACAUGUCAUAUUUGAUUUUUAGCAGGUCUUUUCCAUUCUCCAGCUGCUUUAUAGCUAUCUUCAAGACAGAACUUGUAAUGCCAUUUUAAAGUAAAAAAGAUAAAACUUCCAAAACAAUCUACACGGCUGCAUCUGGGUGAUUAUGUACAUGUGAAUCUAAUGAGAUUCAACAAGGCCAAACGAAAGGUGUUGCACUUGGGUUUGGGCCAUCCCAGAUAUGUCUACAGACUGGAAGAAGAACUCACUGAGAGCAGCCCUGCACAGAAGGACUUGGGAGUCUUGAUGGCCAAAAGUUGGACCUGAGGCAGCAGCGUGCACUUGCAGCCCAAGAAGGCCAACAGUAUCUUGCGCUGCAUCAACAGAAGCGUAGCCAGCAGGGAGACCGAGGGGACUGUCUCCCUCUGCUCUGCCCUCAUGAGACCCCAAGUGCAGUACUGUAUCCAGGCCUGGGGCCCG